CUUCUCGGUCGUCUCACUACUCAUCGUCGUGUAUUCGGCAUUCGGAAUUCGAGCAGACCGCUACUUGCCAAUAAUCUCUCAUACACCUACAACACCGCCAGUCGAAGAUCACUGGACCUGCACUUAAACGACCAUACCAGCGCCAAGAUGCCGUCGAAAAAGUGUGAAAUCGUCCGAGGAAUGGUUAUCAUCAAGCGUUAAGGACACUGACAAAAUCGGACAAAUACAUGGACUCGACCGGACCAGAAUCAGGAAAAGUAUUAUGGAUUUUUGAACGCCACCUGCACGAUGACGGAUACCUCCGCGAUGACUCGGCGGCAACGGAAACCACGUCAUCAAAAUAUAAUAAUUACCAUGUAAUAAUAAUAAUUGUUGUUGUUAUUACUAUUGCGACCGAUUUGCUGUAAGUCGGCGGCGUCUUUCCCACUACAAUAUUAUUAUUAUGUAGCCUCGCACAAUGAGCAAUAAAAAUUAAUACCACCGGUUCAAAUGGCUCUGUUAAAAUGUCCCGUUUACGACGGCGUUAUCAGUGUUUAAACGGUUGUUAUUACGAGCCAUUUUGUACCAUACAUACAUAUAACAUAAUAUAUUAUUACACAUACAUAUCACCGCCGUGAGGAGUAAGUAUAUAUGUGUGUGUGUGUGUGUGUUUUUAUUUCUAGACUUUAUUAUUUUCUUUACAGCGUACCGUUUAAGAUUAUUACUAUUUUUUUUUUUUUUUUUUUAUAUUUUUAUUAUUGGUUGUAUACACUUAUUAUUAUUAUUAUUAUAUUUACUACGAGCAUAAAUCCCGCUUACAAUGAUUUCAAUACGACUAAUUUUUAUAUAUUUUUUAUUGUAUUUUAAACGGACAGGUUUAUCGGUUUACUGCGUUUUUAUUUUUAUGUCUGUGUACAUAAUAUGCGUAUUAAAACAUAAUAAUAAUAACUGUGUACAUGAAGAGAAAUAAUAUUUUACACACAUCAAAAUAUGACAAAUAUAAUAAAAUAACUAUUUAAUAUAAUUAUAACAACAAUAUUUGUACGCCUAACGAUUUAAAUUGGACCACAUUAUAUUACUACUAAAAUAUCGUAUUAAACCAAAUCCUGCCGUUUAAUAUAUAGGUAUGCCGCGAAUAACCUAACUUUCAAUAUACCUACAAAUGUUUAUAGGAUUUAUCCAACUAAGUACUUACAAAAUGAAAUUGUCAAAAACUACUAUAACUCUGACUAUUAUUAUCAUGUAAACUUAGUAGGUAUUUAUAUUUAUAAUAUUUAUUUUACUGUCUUUUUUUUCCCAAUUAAUUGUAUUCAUUGUCUUCUAUAUUGUGCAUAAAUAUUAUUUAAUAUUCAUCAUUAGUUUUUAUGGCUCAUGCAUGGCUACUAUUCCCAGACGAUUAUAAUUAUAUAUUUUUAUUACCUCAUAAGUAUUUUUAAUACUAAUUAAAAUCAUAUUCAAAUAUACAAUGUUAAUUAUCGUUCGUCUAUAAAUAGGAAAACUAAAAAAUUAAAUAUAAUUUGAUGUACUUGUACGAAUCAAUUCAGACACCUUUUUAUGCUUAUUUA
Aphis gossypii (cotton aphid) is the source of this 1544-nucleotide long non-coding RNA. RefSeq lists it as uncharacterized. The record is from RefSeq and is a predicted model, not a curated record. NCBI's taxonomy places the organism in Eukaryota, Metazoa, Arthropoda, Insecta, Hemiptera, Aphididae. The transcript is spliced from 3 exons.